This 581-nucleotide unclassified non-coding RNA is filed under the name Hevea brasiliensis (rubber tree). Lineage: Eukaryota; Viridiplantae; Streptophyta; Magnoliopsida; Malpighiales; Euphorbiaceae. The record is from RNAcentral.
GAUCCCCAAAAAAUUAUCACUAUAUACACAUCAGUCAGUGUAAUUACACAUAACAUUGCAUGCAUCUUGGAUUUCAAUUAAUCAUUUCCAGUUAUAUGUGAAACCCUCAGAAAAUGUUAUUUGACUCUAUAUGGUCAAAUUAAAAUGAGUUAUAUUACAUAGAACCAGUACUGAAAAUAAUAAACAAUAUUAACCCCACCCAACUGGUGUCCUAAUUGACCUUUUUCAUAAAUUCAUUUGUACACUUGCAGCUUCAUUACACUGACAACAUAGAAGAUAUGUAUUACAUUUCUUCUAAAUUUUCAUUCCUGUGCUAUCAUCAGCAAGCCUGUACCACUAUCACACCAAUCAUCUACGGCAAAUAAUCACAUCACAGGAAGAACUAGUACUACAAACCACUAAAAGAAACAUGGCCAGUGUAUUACAAAAUUGUAAGAGUCCAAAUUUCAUAAUGCAUUUCUAUAUAAGCAAAAAUACAUGCACUAUGGAAUUACUAGAUUAAAUAACCAUUAAAUUCCAAUAAUCUGAAUCAUAUCAAUUAAAGCCAACUAAGGAAAACAUGGAAAAAGGGCAAGAAUUGG